GAGUACAACUACUCCUGUUUUCUGCUAAUAAACUAGUAAUUGUUCCAGCUAAACUAGCACCUUUCUGGUAUUCCAGGUAGGAAGGAAGCCUUCAGGACACUGAAGGCUGCAGUAGCUGUAGCAGAAUUUUGGUCCAGUUUUUUCUUCAUUGACCAUUCUUCAUGACACUGAGAAGUGUGCUGUUAUUCACGUUUGCUGCACCUAGAAGCCAACGGGAUUAAUGUAUGCCUCUUACUAUAAUUACUGAAUCAGAGAAUCAAUUAGAUUGGAAAAAACCUCUGAGAUCAUCGAAUCCUACCUAUGACUAAACACCACCAUGCCAACUAGACCAAGCGCCACGUCCAGUAUUUCCUUAAACACCUCCAGGAAUGGUGACUCCACCACCUCCCUGGGCAGCCCAUGGCAGUGUCUGGUCUAAUCAGCCUUUCUGUGGAGAAAUCCUUCUGAUGUCCAACCUGAACAUCCCCUGACACACCCUGAGGCCAUGUCCUGUCCUGUCACGGGUUACCUGGGAGAAGAGACCAACUCCACCUGGUUAUGAAACAUAAACUUUAAGGUAUUUAGAAAAAUUUUAGAGGAGCUAAGAUUUUAGUUAGAGUUAAGCCUUAUUUGAGUUAAUUAAACUAAAUAGGUAGGCCUUGAUGAAGUUAAGAGUUAGUAGUUAACUAAUAACUAAUUGCUUGUCAACACAAUGUUUGGUUAGCUGGGUUUAUAAUGAAGAAUAUACAAACUAAUAAAUAGCUUUUAGGAACAUAAGAAAAUUAUGGGCCUCCUCUGUUCUGAAACCAAUUGAAGACAAGGAAUGGGAGUUCUACCAGGGCUUCAUGUGUCAUAUUUGCAUUGAAAAGGUAGAAAGGUGGUCAGAAAGAGGAAGACUUCAGUUUUUACUCAUUUUGGGACUCCUCUCCAUGAAAGGGGCCACCGACCCAUUUCAAGGAACAAACUACGCAUGCUUAGUAGCUUUUGAACUAAUUAGCAUACGAAGCGGGGAACGGGUUGUACCAAAAUUAUGAAUAUGUAUUUGUAUUUUGGGUAUUCAACACUUGUAUAGAUAAAAGGACUCUGUAAACACCUGUAGAUCGCGGUGUGUAUUUGGAAGCUAUCCCGUACGCUGCCCGGCCUCGCAAUGAACACACACUUUCUAACUUUAAA
Passer domesticus (house sparrow) is the source of this 1152-nucleotide long non-coding RNA. RefSeq lists it as uncharacterized. NCBI's taxonomy places the organism in Eukaryota, Metazoa, Chordata, Aves, Passeriformes, Passeridae. The transcript has 2 exons. The record is from RefSeq and is a predicted model, not a curated record.